Molecule: ribosomal RNA, 444 nt
Filed under: uncultured bacterium
Lineage: Bacteria
Description: SSU rRNA
Rfam family: Bacterial small subunit ribosomal RNA
Source: RNAcentral
AGAGCGAACGCUGGCGGCAGGCCUAAUACAUGCAAGUCGAACGAGCCCUUCGGGGCUAGUGGCGGACGGGUGAGUAACACGUGGGAACGUGCCUUUUGGUUCGGAACAACUCAGGGAAACUUGAGCUAAUACCGAAUGUGCCCUUCGGGGGAAAGAUUUAUCGCCAUUAGAGCGGCCCGCGUCUGAUUAGCUAGUUGGUGAGGUAAAGGCCCACCAAGGCUACGAUCAGUAGCUAGUCUGAGAGGAUGAUCAGCCACACUGGGACUGAGACACGGCCCAGACUCCUACGGGAGGCAGCAGUAGGGAAUCUUGCGCAAUGGGCGAAAGCCUGACGCAGCCAUGCCGCGUGAAUGAUGAAGGUCUUAGGAUUGUAAAAUUCUUUCAGCGGGGCGAUAAUGACGGUACCGCAGAAGAAGCCCCGGCUAACUUCGUGCCAGCAGCCGC